Molecule: long non-coding RNA, 2087 nt
Filed under: Mus musculus (house mouse)
Lineage: Eukaryota; Metazoa; Chordata; Mammalia; Rodentia; Muridae
Description: long non-coding RNA chr4:129066358-129068445
Source: RNAcentral
CAAGACCAAGGGCCUCUCCUCCAAUGAUGGCUGACUAGGCCACCUUCUGCUACAUAUGCAGCUCAGGGGGUACUAGUUAGUUCAUAUUGCUGUUCCUCCUAUAGGGUUACAGACUCCUUCAGCUCUUUGGGUACUUUCUCUAGCUCCUCCAUUUGGGGGCCCUGUGUUCCAUCCAAUAGCUGACUCUGAGCAUCUACUUCUGUAUUUGCCAGCCACUGUCAUAGCCUUACAAGAGUCAGCUAUAUCAGGGUCCUGUCGGCAAAAUCUUGCUGGCAUAUGCAACUGUGUCUGCAUUUGAUGGUUGAUUAUGGUAUGGAUCCCUGGAUGGGGCAGUCUCUGCAUGAUCGUUCCUCCCGUCUCAUCUCCAAACUUAGUCUCUGUAACUCCUUACAUGGGUAUUUGGUUCCCCAUUCUAAGGAGGGACCCCUUUUAUUCUUAUUUACUUAUUUUAUGUGUAUGGGUGUCUUACCUGCAUGUGUAUAUGUUCACCAAGUGCAUGCUUGGUGCCUGAAGAGGUUAGAAGAGGGCAUCAGAUCCCCUAGAAGUAGAGUGACAUUUGGUUGUGAGCCACCAUGUGAAUGCUGGGACUCAAACGAGAGUCCUCUAUGAGAGCGACAGGGCUCUUAACCACUGCGCCAUCUCCCUCAUCCCAUGUCUAUCUCCUUUAAAGAAUCUUAGGGUCCAUUUGUAAAUGGAUAAUAUAAGACUUUAGGACUGGAAGUAUAGACAUAUAUAGGAACACAUAAUAUAGAAACUACUGAAAUCUGUGAGGCAUAAUUAAAUUUAUACUAAUAGGAUUUUUUUCCAGGCCUGAAAUUAAGAUAGCCUGCCACACUGAUAAUUCUGAAGAUUUAACAUAAAGGUUGUGUGAACUUGAGGGAGAGCAUUCUGAGCUUGAGGCAGCAUGUAACUUUUUAUACCCUACUUUAAGCUUCUAAUUAGCAAAUUUGAAUCCUUGGUUAAACUAACAGCAGAGUAGGAGAGAAGUUCCCUCUAGUAUAGGACAUACAAGAAAAGGAACAACAUGGCCAGAGGAGCUGGAGCGCAUGGAUGAGGCUUUUAGUCCAGCCAGGGAAAUUUUCCCUUAACUAGAAGCUUUACCCUUAAGAUGAAUUUUUAUAAAAUUGCAGGAUUAGAUUAUACUGCAUAAUAUGUAAAAAACCAACCAUACAUGGCUAGGAUGAAAAUGUGGCCAGGAGAAGAGCUAAAGUUCCCUAGGGAAAGCCAAAGGACCAGCGGAGCAAAAGGGGGGUCUUUGUCCUGUGGCCACCACAGGUAUGCUGAGCCUCUGAGGUCCAGUGUGCUGGGAGAGACAGGCACAUACACAGGCUGUAAUAUGCUGUUAAAACUGCACUGCACAAAUAGCUCGCUAUCAGCCUGGAGAGUACAUUUUAUAGAGAAGAUGACAUCUGAACUGCUCUUUUUUGGGUUUUGGUUUUGGUUUCAAGACAGACUUUUCUCUGUGUAACAACAGCCCUAGCUUUCCUAGAACUCACUUUGUAGACCAAUCCGGCUUGGAACUCAUGAGAUCCACCUCCUCUGCCUCUCAAUUGCUGGAAUGAAAGGCUUGCACUACCACGCCCAGCUUGAGCUGGUUUUUAAAUGGAUAUUUACCAGAAAGAAGAAAGGAAAGACAUCUCUGGGCAGAAAAAAAGAGAGCAGGCAAAGGCCAGAAGUCCAGUGCAUUAUAUGUUACGGCUUUCAGUGCAAAGUUAUGAAUGCAGUUUUAGAAUGUUGAGCUAUACCUGAAGGCAGCACACUGCUCUAUCUCCAGUAGAGGGAGAGAAGUAAGGCUUGGGGAUAUUUAAGUUCAUCUGUGUCAUGCAGUAUGAAUCAGCACAGAGUAGGUACCCAAAACAGGAAUUCUAAGUCUUAUGUCCUGAGUAAGUCUGUGUCAUAGUGAUAGACUGCCAUAGAGUCAUCAGGAUUGGGGGUUAUUUUACUUCCUCGGAACUAAAUUCUACUCCUAAAGGUGGUUUCCCAUUGUUUGCCUGCCAGUCUGUGGCCUGUCUGUACUGCUUGGUUGUCAUGCCUUGAAAUUUGAGGACUGUCUGCUCACUGCCCAGUGAAAGGAUGCCAAAUCUGCC